UAGCAUAAUCAUUAGUUUUUUAAUUGAAAACUUGUAUGAAUGGUUGGACAAAGAAAAAGCUGUCUCUUUUAUUUGAAUUGAAAUUAACUUCUAAGUGAAAAGGCUUAGAUUUUUUAGAGGGACGAUAAGACCCUAUAAAGCUUUAUAAGUUAAGUAAGUUAAAUUAAUUUUUUAAAAUAAAAAUAAGCUUAAAAAAUUUAUUUGGUUGGGGCGACAAUGGUAUAAAUUAAAUAACUGCUAUUAAAAUUAAGCAAUUAUAUUUGAUUAGAAUUAUAAUUGAUCCUUAUUAUGGAUUAAAAGAUCAAGUUACUUUAGGGAUAACAGCGUAAUUUCUUUUGAGAGUUCUUAUCAAAGAAGAAGUUUGCGACCUC
This 371-nucleotide ribosomal RNA is filed under the name Scylla paramamosain (green mud crab). RNAcentral describes it as "partial 16S ribosomal RNA". Lineage: Eukaryota; Metazoa; Arthropoda; Malacostraca; Decapoda; Portunidae. The record is from RNAcentral.